RNAcentral lists this ribosomal RNA (339 nucleotides) under Triticum aestivum (bread wheat). Its description in RNAcentral is "partial small subunit ribosomal RNA". Lineage: Eukaryota; Viridiplantae; Streptophyta; Magnoliopsida; Poales; Poaceae. The record is from RNAcentral.
AUGGCGCCUCGCGCCGACGGCCACUUCGUCGACGGUGGGCACAGCAUAGGGGAGCUCCUGGACGCGCACCAUCUCCACUACUCCCGGUACGACACCCUCGACUACGCGCCGGCGAUGGUCCCGGCGUGCCUCGGGAGCCGGGUGAGGAAGAUGGAGUUGCUGCAGUACCAGGGCGGCAGAGCGCAGAGGACGCUGGCCAGGUUCUUGCUCCGCAACGCGCCGGUUCUUGAGCAGCUCUACUGUGGACUCGCGGAGGGGCCGGAGUGGGUUCAGAGGGAAUUGAUGCGCGAGAUGGAAGGCUGGGUGGUGAAUGAGACAGCAAGCAAGGAGUUCCAUUGA